RNAcentral lists this non-coding RNA (182 nucleotides) under Desulfosporosinus youngiae. Lineage: Bacteria; Bacillati; Bacillota; Clostridia; Eubacteriales; Desulfitobacteriaceae. RNAcentral also lists the same sequence under 1 other name. The record is from RNAcentral.
AAAUACUUCGAGCCAGUAAUUUUUCUGUGUAAGAAAAAUUCGACAGGGAAGCCGGUGUGAAUCCGGCGCGGUCCCGCCACUGUAAAUGGGGAGCUUAUUGCCAUAUCCACUGAGGAAACUUGGGAAGGAGGCAAUGGGCGAAGAACCUAAGCCAGGAGACCUGACUGCUCGUCUGCUUUAAC